This 172-nucleotide ribosomal RNA is filed under the name uncultured bacterium. RNAcentral describes it as "partial 16S rRNA". It matches the Rfam family "Bacterial small subunit ribosomal RNA", at positions 338 to 525 of the family's 1533-position model. The record is from RNAcentral.
CCUACGGGAGGCAGCAGUGGGGAAUAUUGCACAAUGGGAGCGAAAGUCUGAUGCAGCAACGCCGCGUGGAGGAUGACACAUUUCGGUGCGUAAACUCCUUUUAUNUGGGAAGAUAAUGACGGUANCNUAUGAAUAAGCACCGGCUAACUCCGUGCCAGCAGCCGCGGUAAUA